AUUGAACGCUGGCGGCAGGCUUAACACAUGCAAGUCGAGCGGGGGAAGGUAGCUUGCUACCGGACCUAGCGGCGGACGGGUGAGUAAUGCUUAGGAAUCUGCCUAUUAGUGGGGGACAACAUCUCGAAAGGGAUGCUAAUACCGCAUACGUCCUACGGGAGAAAGCAGGGGAUCUUCGGACCUUGCGCUAAUAGAUGAGCCUAAGUCGGUUUAGCUAGUUGGUGGGGUAAAGGCCUACCAAGGCGACGAUCUGUAGCGGGUCUGAGAGGAUGAUCCGCCACACUGGGACUGAGACACGGCCCAGACUCCUACGGGAGGCAGCAGUGGGGAAUAUUGGACAAUGGGGGGAACCCUGAUCCAGCCAUGCCGCGUGUGUGAAGAAGGCCUUAUGGUUGUAAAGCACUUUAAGCGAGGAGGAGGCUUCUUUAGUUAAUACCUAGAGAUAGUGGACGUUACUCGCAGAAUAAGCACCGGCUAACUCUGUGCCAGCCGCCGCCGUAA
RNAcentral lists this ribosomal RNA (501 nucleotides) under uncultured bacterium. RNAcentral's name for it is "partial 16S ribosomal RNA". It matches the Rfam family "Bacterial small subunit ribosomal RNA", at positions 30 to 523 of the family's 1533-position model. The record is from RNAcentral.